RNAcentral lists this ribosomal RNA (497 nucleotides) under uncultured bacterium. Its description in RNAcentral is "partial 16S ribosomal RNA". It matches the Rfam family "Bacterial small subunit ribosomal RNA", at positions 28 to 507 of the family's 1533-position model. The record is from RNAcentral.
GAUGAACGCUGGCGGCGUGCCUAAUACAUGCAAGUCGAGCGAACAGACGAGGAGCUUGCUCCUCUGACGUUAGCGGCGGACGGGUGAGUAACACGUGGAUAACCUACCUAUAAGACUGGGAUAACUUCGGGAAACCGGAGCUAAUACCGGAUAAUAUAUUGAACCGCAUUGUUCAAUAGUGAAAUACGGUUUUUCUUUCGCUUCUAGUCGUAUCCGAUCGGCAUUAGCUAGUUGGUAAGGUAAGGGCUUACCAAGGAAACGAUGCGAGGCCGACCUGGGAGGGUGAUCGGCCACACUAGAACUGAGACACGGUCCAGACUCCUACGGGAGGCAGCAGUAGGGAAUCUUCCGCAAUGGGCGAAAGCCUGACGGAGCAACGCCGCGUGAGUGAUGAAGGUCUUCGGAUCGUAAAACUCUGUUAUUAGGGAAGAACAAAUGUGUAAGUAAAUAUGCACGUCUUGACGGUACCUAAUCAGAAAGCCACGGCUAACUACGUG